This 777-nucleotide ribosomal RNA is filed under the name Ophiostoma piliferum. RNAcentral's name for it is "eukaryotic LSU rRNA". It matches the Rfam family "Eukaryotic large subunit ribosomal RNA", at positions 104 to 912 of the family's 3401-position model. The record is from RNAcentral. Lineage: Eukaryota; Fungi; Ascomycota; Sordariomycetes; Ophiostomatales; Ophiostomataceae.
CAGCUCAAAUUUGAAAUCUGGCCCUCGGGCCCGAGUUGUAAUUUGGAGAGGAUGCUUCUGGCGCGGCGCCGUCCGAGUUCCUUGGAACAGGACGCCAUAGAGGGUGAGAGCCCCGUACGGGCGGCCGCCUAGCCUUUGCGAAGCUCCUUCGACGAGUCGAGUAGUUUGGGAAUGCUGCUCAAAAUGGGAGGUAAAUUUCUUCUAAAGCUAAAUACCGGCCAGAGACCGAUAGCGCACAAGUAGAGUGAUCGAAAGAUGAAAAGCACUUUGAAAAGAGGGUUAAAAAGUACGUGAAAUUGUUGAAAGGGAAGCGCCUGUGACCAGACUUGCGGCCCGCGGAUCAUCCGGUGUUCCUCACCGGUGCGCUCCGCGGGCCGCAGGCCAGCAUCGGCUCUCCUGGGGGGACAAAGGUCGCGGGAACGUGGCUCCUUAGGGAGUGUUAUAGCCCGCUUCGUCAUGCCUCCGGGGGGGCCGAGGACCGCGCUUCGGCAAGGAUGCUGGCGUAAUGGUCACCGGCGACCCGUCUUGAAACACGGACCAAGGAGUCAAGCAUUGGGGCGAGUGUCUGGGUGCCAAACCCGCACGCGAAAUGAAAGUAAACGCAGGUGAGAGCUUCGGCGCAUCACCGACCGAUCCUGAUGUCUUCGGAUGGAUUUGAGUAAGAGCCUUACCGCUUGGACCCGAAAGAUGGUGAACUAUGCCUGUAUAGGGUGAAGCCAGAGGAAACUCUGGUGGAGGCUCGCAGCGGUUCUGACGUGCAAAUCGAUCGUCAAAUAU